CCUACGGGCGGCUGCAGUGGGGAAUAUUGGACAAUGGGGGGAACCCUGAUCCAGCCAUGCCGCGUGUGUGAAGAAGGCCCUCGGGUUGUAAAGCACUUUCAGUGAGGAAGAACGCCUUGUGGUUAAUACCCAUCAGGAAAGACAUUACUCACAGAAGAAGCACCGGCUAACUCCGUGCCAGCAGCCGCGGUAAUACGGAGGGUGCGAGCGUUAAUCGGAAUUACUGGGCGUAAAGCGCGCGUAGGUGGCUUGAUAAGCCGGUUGUGAAAGCCCCGGGCUCAACCUGGGAACGGCAUCCGGAACUGUCAAGCUAGAGUGCAGGAGAGGAAGGUAGAAUUCCCGGUGUAGCGGUGAAAUGCGUAGAGAUCGGGAGGAAUACCAGUGGCGAAGGCGGCCUUCUGGACUGACACUGACACUGAGGUGCGAAAGCGUGGGUAGCAAACAGGAUUAGAUACCCGGGUAGUC
RNAcentral lists this ribosomal RNA (465 nucleotides) under Vreelandella stevensii. RNAcentral's name for it is "partial 16S ribosomal RNA". It matches the Rfam family "Bacterial small subunit ribosomal RNA", at positions 338 to 795 of the family's 1533-position model. Lineage: Bacteria; Pseudomonadati; Pseudomonadota; Gammaproteobacteria; Oceanospirillales; Halomonadaceae. The record is from RNAcentral.